This 244-nucleotide long non-coding RNA is filed under the name Lathyrus oleraceus (garden pea). RNAcentral describes it as "Pisum sativum (pea) long non-coding RNA (PSAT_LNC013820)". The record is from RNAcentral. Lineage: Eukaryota; Viridiplantae; Streptophyta; Magnoliopsida; Fabales; Fabaceae.
AUUUUAAUAUGGAAGACGAAUGUUUGAACAUUGAGCUCUACAGCAGUAUCCUAACAUUCGAAACAGAGAAAGUCUAAACUUAAUCAGUUUCUUCCAUUCUAGUAAUUAUUGUAUUUUAAUAUGGAAGACGAAUGUUUGAACAUUGAGCUCUACAGCAGUAUCCUAACAUUCGAAACAGAGAAAGUCUAAACUUAAUCAGUUUCUUCCAUUUUUAUUGUGAAAAUCUUUUAAAAACAGGGGGACG